This is a long non-coding RNA of Hermetia illucens (black soldier fly), 700 nucleotides long. RefSeq lists it as uncharacterized. The transcript is spliced from 2 exons. The record is from RefSeq and is a predicted model, not a curated record. Lineage: Eukaryota; Metazoa; Arthropoda; Insecta; Diptera; Stratiomyidae.
AUUGACAUUCAACAGCUGAUUUAAGGUUUUUGAUGACCGAAUUUUGCGCGAUGUGUCAGAAUCUGGUUUUCUUUGGUUCAUGAGAAACCGUAAAGCCGUCUUUUCUUUUUAUAUUUUAUUGUUUUGAUAUAUUAAAAAUCAAUAAAAAUAAAAACCAAGUGAAAAUAUUUUCAUCGUCGUCAAUUCGUCAAGAAAAUUUCAUGGAAGUCCAUAAAAAAAUUGUAAAUUUUCUCAAUUUCAGGUUAUAAUGCUUUAAGCGACUAAUGAUUUAUGCGGCGGUUUCUCCGAAAUGGGUCGGUGAAUUUCACCCAGCGUCGAAAAAGCAAUAUCCUAUGCUUAUAAAUGGUGAUCCCAGGGGGUUCUACUAUUCGCUGCGGAGGACCUUCAAAAAAUCAUGUCUUGUGAAAACGGCACUAUAGCCGCCCUUUUGUAAAAUAUAGAGAAUAAUAAAUUUCUUCGCGGUGACCAUGACAUUGAAAAACAAUUUUUGUCAGCGAAAAUUGUUUUUCCGUCAUAAGAGAAUUCAGCACAGAACCGAGCAAGGAGAGGAAGACACUCUUCUCUGAUAAUUCUCAAUUAAACAUUAUAAAUAAUUUAUUCAAAGAGAAAAUUAGAAACUGAAUUGUAAUUCUUUCUGCAAUCAGCCGUGAAGUAAAUUAGAUUAAUCAGAUAAUUUAAAUGUAAUACAUUAAAUAAUUAA